RNAcentral lists this transfer RNA (59 nucleotides) under Clostridium cavendishii DSM 21758. RNAcentral describes it as "tRNA_Phe_GAA". It matches the Rfam family "tRNA", at positions 7 to 62 of the family's 71-position model. From Rfam's summary of the family: Transfer RNA (tRNA) molecules are approximately 80 nucleotides in length. Their secondary structure includes four short double-helical elements and three loops (D, anti-codon, and T loops). Lineage: Bacteria; Bacillati; Bacillota; Clostridia; Eubacteriales; Clostridiaceae. The record is from RNAcentral.
GAUAGCUCAGUCGGUAGAGCAGAGGACUGAAAAUCCUCGUGUCGCUGGUUCGAUUCCUG